RNAcentral lists this ribosomal RNA (416 nucleotides) under uncultured bacterium. RNAcentral's name for it is "partial 16S ribosomal RNA". It matches the Rfam family "Bacterial small subunit ribosomal RNA", at positions 361 to 774 of the family's 1533-position model. The record is from RNAcentral.
AUAUUGGUCAAUGGAGGCAACUCUGAACCAGCCAAGUCGCGUGAAGGAUGCCUGGCCUACGGGUUGUAAACUUCUUUUUUAAGGGAAUAAAGUGAGCCACGUGUGGCUUUUUGAAUGUACCUUACGAAUAAGGAUCGGCUAAAUCCGUUCCAGCAGCCGCGGUAAUACGGAGGAUCCGACCGUUAGCCGGAUUUAUUGGGUUUAAAGGGUGCGCAGGCGGAAUAUUAAGUCGGCGGUGAAAGUUUGCAGCUUAACUGUCAAAUUGCCGUUGAAACUGGUUUUCUUGAGUGUAUAUGAAGUAGGCGGAAUUUGUAGUGUAGCGGUGAAAUGCAUAGAUAUUACAAGGAACUCCGAUUGCGAAGGCAGCUUACUAAAAUACAACUGACGCUCAGGCACGAAGGCGUGGGUAUCAAACA